AUACAGGGGGUGCGAGCGUUAAUGGGAAUUACUGGGCGUAAAGAGUACGUAGGCGGUUGCUUAAGUCAGAUGUGAAAGCCCCGGGCUCAACCUGGGAACUGCAUUUGAAACUGAGUGACUAGAGUUUAAGAGAGGGGAGUAGAAUUCCGGGUGUAGCGGUGAAAUGCGUAGAGAUCCGGAGGAAUACCAGUGGCGAAGGCGGCUCCCUGGCUUAAAACUGACGCUGAGGUACGAAAGCGUGGGUAGCAAACAGGAUUAGAAACCCUAGUAGUCC
RNAcentral lists this ribosomal RNA (274 nucleotides) under uncultured bacterium. RNAcentral describes it as "partial 16S ribosomal RNA". It matches the Rfam family "Bacterial small subunit ribosomal RNA", at positions 523 to 796 of the family's 1533-position model. The record is from RNAcentral.